RNAcentral lists this ribosomal RNA (1534 nucleotides) under Klebsiella pneumoniae. Its description in RNAcentral is "bacterial SSU rRNA". It matches the Rfam family "Bacterial small subunit ribosomal RNA". The record is from RNAcentral. Lineage: Bacteria; Pseudomonadati; Pseudomonadota; Gammaproteobacteria; Enterobacterales; Enterobacteriaceae.
UAGAGUUUGAUCCUGGCUCAGAUUGAACGCUGGCGGCAGGCCUAACACAUGCAAGUCGAGCGGUAGCACAGAGAGCUUGCUCUCGGGUGACGAGCGGCGGACGGGUGAGUAAUGUCUGGGAAACUGCCUGAUGGAGGGGGAUAACUACUGGAAACGGUAGCUAAUACCGCAUAACGUCGCAAGACCAAAGUGGGGGACCUUCGGGCCUCAUGCCAUCAGAUGUGCCCAGAUGGGAUUAGCUGGUAGGUGGGGUAACGGCUCACCUAGGCGACGAUCCCUAGCUGGUCUGAGAGGAUGACCAGCCACACUGGAACUGAGACACGGUCCAGACUCCUACGGGAGGCAGCAGUGGGGAAUAUUGCACAAUGGGCGCAAGCCUGAUGCAGCCAUGCCGCGUGUGUGAAGAAGGCCUUCGGGUUGUAAAGCACUUUCAGCGGGGAGGAAGGCGGUGAGGUUAAUAACCUCACCGAUUGACGUUACCCGCAGAAGAAGCACCGGCUAACUCCGUGCCAGCAGCCGCGGUAAUACGGAGGGUGCAAGCGUUAAUCGGAAUUACUGGGCGUAAAGCGCACGCAGGCGGUCUGUCAAGUCGGAUGUGAAAUCCCCGGGCUCAACCUGGGAACUGCAUUCGAAACUGGCAGGCUAGAGUCUUGUAGAGGGGGGUAGAAUUCCAGGUGUAGCGGUGAAAUGCGUAGAGAUCUGGAGGAAUACCGGUGGCGAAGGCGGCCCCCUGGACAAAGACUGACGCUCAGGUGCGAAAGCGUGGGGAGCAAACAGGAUUAGAUACCCUGGUAGUCCACGCUGUAAACGAUGUCGAUUUGGAGGUUGUGCCCUUGAGGCGUGGCUUCCGGAGCUAACGCGUUAAAUCGACCGCCUGGGGAGUACGGCCGCAAGGUUAAAACUCAAAUGAAUUGACGGGGGCCCGCACAAGCGGUGGAGCAUGUGGUUUAAUUCGAUGCAACGCGAAGAACCUUACCUGGUCUUGACAUCCACAGAACUUAGCAGAGAUGCUUUGGUGCCUUCGGGAACUGUGAGACAGGUGCUGCAUGGCUGUCGUCAGCUCGUGUUGUGAAAUGUUGGGUUAAGUCCCGCAACGAGCGCAACCCUUAUCCUUUGUUGCCAGCGGUCCGGCCGGGAACUCAAAGGAGACUGCCAGUGAUAAACUGGAGGAAGGUGGGGAUGACGUCAGGUCAUCAUGGCCCUUACGACCAGGGCUACACACGUGCUACAAUGGCAUAUACAAAGAGAAGCGACCUCGCGAGAGCAAGCGGACCUCAUAAAGUAUGUCGUAGUCCGGAUUGGAGUCUGCAACUCGACUCCAUGAAGUCGGAAUCGCUAGUAAUCGUAGAUCAGAAUGCUACGGUGAAUACGUUCCCGGGCCUUGUACACACCGCCCGUCACACCAUGGGAGUGGGUUGCAAAAGAAGUAGGUAGCUUAACCUUCGGGAGGGCGCUUACCACUUUGUGAUUCAUGACUGGGGUGAAGUCGUAACAAGGUAACCGUAGGGGAACCUGCGGCUGGAUCACCUCCUUA